RNAcentral lists this long non-coding RNA (4744 nucleotides) under Citrus maxima (pomelo). Its description in RNAcentral is "long non-coding RNA (CMAX_LNC001997)". Lineage: Eukaryota; Viridiplantae; Streptophyta; Magnoliopsida; Sapindales; Rutaceae. The record is from RNAcentral.
CUUGCGCUUCAAAUUCUGCUUCCUCUACAUCCAGCAACGGUGCUUGGUUCUCACAAGAGCUAGAUUCAACAAAUCAAAAUAGGCUGAAAUGGGUGCAGAAGAAUUACAUGAUUUACAAUUACUGCACUGAUACAAAGAGAUUUCCUCAGGGCCUUCCUGCAGAAUGCAGAACCUCCUAGAGAAAAUAAUCAACAAGACGCUUAAAAAUUAUUUUAUUCUUUCGUGUAAUCAUUCAAUGGUUAUUCAAUUCAUGUAGAUUCUGGAGUCAGAUUCUUUGUUUCUCUGUAAUCAAUAAAAUGGCAUAUUAGUCCAAUUUUUACCAUAUGUAACACUGGUUAAUGAAUUUUAAAAAGGAUAAUGUUAUGCGUACUUGCGUGGUAUACAAAUUAAGUAUGCUAACUAAGUAAACAUAAUAUUACUAUUUCAAAAGAUUUUGUUCUUCUUUGUUGUUAUUCUUCGUAAGCUUUAGCAUAUAGUUAUAAGCCUAAUUAAAGGUAUUGACAUGAUGACUCAUUAAUAAAGCUUUUAGACCCUAGAUUGGAAUAUGACGAAUUAUCGAGGAUGCAUGAAGAUAAGAGCAAAUGAGUCUCCACCAGAAUGAGAAGAAAAUAUACUGCGUGUGAGCGUUACCGUAUUUGUGUCAAUCGAGGAGAAAUUUUAGCCAUUGAUUAGUAUUUAGAUAAGGCAGUAAAAGGGUAAAAUGGCAGAAAUAAACUAAAAAAAUAACAGAGUGAACUUGCACAAGUCGAUGAGGAAGAGUGAUGCAUACCGUUAUUGUUGUACGUGUUAAUUAAUAAUGAGAGGGGGACAAGCUGCGAGCCAGCUCUCAAGAGUUGAUUUUUCAAGGCGAGUCAACCCCGCCAUGCCACCACCGCCUUUCCAGAUAAACAAAUUAAACAUUCUCUAGUAUAAGUGGUAAUAUACAAAACAGGAAACAGGGCUUUUGUACACAGCAAAAUCUUCAGUCCGUUCGAUUUAAAUACCAAUAUCUAUAAAUUCCUUAAUAAUAAUAAUAAUAAGCAUAUCUUCCAGUUCUAUAUGUGUUUUAUUACAUACGAACCCACCGGAAAGUAUGUGUUAGUGUUGUGAAAAUUUUAAUAUAUUCGCAAGUGCACGAAUCUAGAGAUAGAAUUGUGAUAACGAGAUCGAUCCCACAUGGAUUGUUAUAAAUUAAAAAGUCUAAUUUAAAUCUAAAAUUAAUAUUAAUCCUAACCUAGUUGAGCAAAUUGAGUUUCAAAAGAAAUUAAACUAAUUAAACUAAGAAAACAAUUAAAGUAAAUGAGAUUUCAAUGAGACAAAAAUUACCAAGGUUUCGGAAUCCACCACUAGUCAAUUAGUAAUUAUCUAAUUAUUAAUUAAUCCCUAAUUUUAGAGUGACAACUCGAAAUCAAUCUAUGUCAUCUCAUAAAUAUAAUAAUUAAGCCCAAUUAAAAUUAAUCUUGUGUAUGUUAUUUUUCUGCUUAAUAGUAUGAUAUCUAAGUAUCCCAUGUAAACAUAUUAAAUAACAAAAAGUCAAAAUUUUCCUAAGCACUCUAUGUAAACAAUUUAAUGAAAGAUAUAGAAUCAAAGAUAAUAAUGUAUAAACUUUAUAUAUCCAAGCAUAGAUUUAAUCGAACAUUAAUCCUAACAAUCAAUAAUACAUGAUAGAAUUGAUGAAAAGUUUUUAAUAACAUAUAAUUAAUCAUGUGAAAUAAAAACUAUAAUCAUUAAAGAACAUAUAUAGGAAAUUAAAUAAAUAAAAAGAUAAUUAUUUCAUUAAAUAAGGUAUCAUCUUUAAUCUUGGUAUAAGAAAAUUAGUUAGACAUACUUAAAUUGGGAGUAACACAAAAAAUAAAAUCACUCAUAGAAGCCGAACUGCUGCUGCUCUUCGUCCCGAAGCCGAACUGCUGCUGCUCUUCGUCCCGCGGCUUCUCUUCUGGCGGCCGCCUUUCCCUCUUGCAAAAGCCAAAGUUCGGCUUUUAUAUUGUAACUCCCCACAAAAUCCUCAAAUCAAAAGGUUUUAAAACAAGCCAAGCACAACCGACUUUGAGCCCAUGCAUGUGAAGCCCACUUGGAAUUUUCAUUCCUUUUUUAAUGCCAUGCAAUUGCUUUCCCACGUGCUGGCCACUUUAGCUUUAAAUUUCUUCUUUGUUUGCACUAGCAUGGAGAAUUCAAUUUAUUGGCUUCGGCUUCGGCUUCUUCGGAUUGAAUUUCAUACACAUCUACUUAAUUGCUUCCAUAAAUUGACUUGAUUUUUAAUGUUGUCCAAUUGUUAUUCUUUAUGUACUUUUCAUUCCUAAUCUCCAAUUAAUUCCCAAUUCAAUAAAACAAUUCAAUUAAUUAAAAAUAAUAAAUAAAUAUAACUAACAAUUAUUUAAUUAAGGGUAAAAUAUGCAUAUAUUAUAUGCUCAUCAGUUAUCAAUUAACCUAAAAUUUGGAAACAAAUUCACAGUUUCAUGUUACUAGGAAGCAUGUGUAUCGGUAUCUUGGGAUACAUAUUUCUUAGAUGUUAGAUCCAUGAUUCGUGUUAGGGACUCCAGUAAAGACUUGUCUUUAAUUUUCUUGGGUCAAACCAUUUUCGUUUUUACAUAGCAAAGGUUUCUUGUUCAAAUCUCAGCGUGCUCAAUUUUUUGGGAAUAACACACGUAUAUGUUUCAAUUCAUGUAUGUUCAAGAACCUCUAAUUCAAUCUCCUAUCUCCGCUUUUGGAACGACAUGACCUUGAAACUGGAUCCAUGUUUCACAUGGGCAGGUCUUUUAACACUUUAAUGCUAUUUUCUGGACUCCUGUUUAACGUCUUAAGCUUUUGAAUUAAAUGAUUUCCUGAUAAUAAAUAUAGUUAUCGAAAAAAUCUGUUAAUUAAGUACGUCAUUGAGCAAUUUUUUCUUUUUCUUUUUCUUUUGAGCAUAAAAUGGAAAAAAAAAAUGAAAAUCUCGAGAGAGAACAGUACCCAGUGAAUUCUACAUUUUCUUUUUUGUGUUUUGACUGGUGGUGGCUGGAAAAAAAAAAAUCUAAUAAGAGUCAGCCGGUGAUGGGAACAGAACAGCAGUACAGAAUAAGCACUUGAGUCUCAAAAAUAUGCAAAGCCGCGUAUUGUAAUUAAAAAAAGUCCCUGGUGUAGCGUGUUCUGUUAGUGCGAUUCGGACAGCUGUUUUUAUUUCAUCACGCUAUUUUACGCAAACAACUGGCCACAGCUGAAGCUGAACUAACUGGAGCUUCCCAUUACUUUCCUCUGCUUUCGUUAUACUCACCUUCACCAGCUCAAUCAAGCUAUAAACACCAAACCCUGGUGAGAUCCCAAACACACUCAUCGCUUCACUUUCAAAAAUUUCAAACUUCUCUCCAACUCAAAUUCUUCUAUCUUGUUGUUGCUCAGACGAAAGCUUCCAUGGCUUCAGUAUUGCAUCUGUCGCUGCUUCUUCUUGGCUCUUUGAUGGUUGCCUCUGCUGGUAACUUCCACCAAGAUUUUGAUAUCACUUGGGGAGACGGGCGUGCUAAUAUACUCAACAAUGGCCAGCUUCUUACUCUUUCCCUUGAUAAAGCCUCUGGCUCAGGCUUCCAGUCCAAGAAUGAGUAUCUAUUCGGCAAGAUUGAUAUGCAACUCAAACUAGUCCCUGGCAACUCUGCCGGCACUGUCACUGCGUAUUAUGUAAGUUCCUGCCUUUAUAUGAAUAAACAAUAUGCAUGUUUGAUCAUUACCCUUUAUAUGAAUAAACAAUAUGCAUGUUUGAUCAUCAUGUAUCUGACAUAUAGACCUUUGAUUUUUUGUUCACGCAGUUAAAAUCGCCAGGAUCAACAUGGGAUGAGAUAGACUUCGAGUUCUUGGGGAAUUUAAGUGGUGACCCUUACACUCUGCAUACCAAUGUUUUCACAAAUGGCAAAGGUGACAAAGAACAACAAUUUCACCUCUGGUUUGACCCCACUGCUGACUUUCACACCUAUUCUAUCCUCUGGAAUCCUCAGCGCAUUGUGUAAGCAAUAUUUUCCUUCAAUCUCCAUCAUUUCUUCUUUCCUUGUCAGUCAAUCUGCUUAGACGUACCAAUGUUUACUUAAUUUUCAGCUUCUCUGUGGAUGGUACUCCCAUAAGAGAGUUCAAGAACUCAGAGUCAAUUGGAGUUGCAUUCCCAAAGAAUCAGCCAAUGAGAAUAUACUCAUCUCUCUGGAAUGCUGAUGACUGGGCUACAAGAGGUGGCCUUGUCAAGACAGAUUGGACGCAUGCUCCCUUCACGGCUUCCUACAGAAACUUCAACGCUGAUGCUUGUGUCUGGUCUAAUGGAAAAUCUUCUUGCGCUUCAAGUUCACCUUCCUCUCCAUCCAGCAGCAGUGCCUGGUUCUCACAAGAGCUUGAUUCAACAAGUCAGGAAAGGCUGAAAUGGGUGCAGAAGAAUUACAUGAUUUACAAUUAUUGCGCUGAUGCAAAGAGAUUUCCCCAGGGACUCCCUGCAGAAUGCAGAACCGCUUAGAAGUUUUGCAAAAUCAACACAUACAUCAAAAAAAUUUAUUCUUUUUGUCAAUUCUUUGAUUCUUUGUUGUAUUUUGUCGUCAAUAAAAUGGCAAAUUAGUCCAACUUUCUCAAUGUAAUACAAAAUUUAGCAUAUAAAUAUCAUGAGAUUAUGUUCUCUACUCUUCGCAUGCUUGCUAUAUGUUCUUCUUUGGCUAGGUUUUAACGUAGAAACGACCAAACCUCUUCACAUAUGCAAUGGUACUCUAAAUUUUGACUGACUUAACGGGUAAGGACUAGCAAAAUAUUCUAUUGCCAUUAAAAC